AAGGAGUUUAUCGUGUGCGCAAGUUUUUGGGUGUUAAAAACCUAAAAGCGAAAUGAAAGUAAAUGGCUCUUUAGAGUCUGAUGUGCGAUCUUGUCAAAAAGUGCAGCAUGGCCCCAUUCUAACUGUUUACAGUAGGGUGGCGGAAGAGCGUACGCGGUGAGACCCGAAAGAUGGUGAACUAUUCCUGAGCAGGACGAAGCCAGAGGAAACUCUGGUGGAAGUCCGAAGCGGUUCUGACGUGCAAAUCGAUCGUCUGACUUGGGUAUAGGGGCGAAAGACUAAUCGAACCAUCUAGUA
This 297-nucleotide ribosomal RNA is filed under the name Meloidogyne javanica (root-knot nematode). RNAcentral describes it as "partial 28S ribosomal RNA". It matches the Rfam family "Eukaryotic large subunit ribosomal RNA", at positions 668 to 949 of the family's 3401-position model. The record is from RNAcentral. Lineage: Eukaryota; Metazoa; Nematoda; Chromadorea; Rhabditida; Meloidogynidae.